Non-coding RNA from Potamilus streckersoni, 75 nucleotides. The record is from the annotation of a GenBank genome assembly. Lineage: Eukaryota; Metazoa; Mollusca; Bivalvia; Unionida; Unionidae.
GCUUCAGUGACGCAAUGGUUAGUGUGUUGGAUUAGCCAUCAAAACGGCGAUGGUUCGAAUCCUACCUUAGGGUCA